RNAcentral lists this unclassified non-coding RNA (240 nucleotides) under soil metagenome. RNAcentral's name for it is "partial contains 5.8S ribosomal RNA, internal transcribed spacer 2, and large subunit ribosomal RNA". The record is from RNAcentral.
AACCUUAUGGACCUGCGGGCGUAUACCUGCGGAGGGAUCAUUACCGAGGCGUUGGAUCUCGCGAGAGACCGAUACCCGACCUUAUGUCAUUUGUUGCUCCGGGGAUCCAAACGCGGGUGACGCGGGAGGACCCGGAGGAGUUGAACUUCGGCGGAAGAGGUAGGCUUUGACCUGCCCGCCGCCGGCCGCAUUCCAAGCUCUUUCGAGAUUGAAACGAUGAAGUCUGAGAAAGAAGCGAGA